This 617-nucleotide long non-coding RNA is filed under the name Linum usitatissimum (flax). RNAcentral's name for it is "long non-coding RNA (LUSI_LNC001923)". Lineage: Eukaryota; Viridiplantae; Streptophyta; Magnoliopsida; Malpighiales; Linaceae. The record is from RNAcentral.
AGAAUUGUUCCCACCAAACUCCUGCAUAUCAUGAGACGGUAGAUUUGGACCCUGGUUUGGGUCAUCAGGGGAACUGCGGGAAUUAUUCAAUGAAGCACCUUUGACCAUGUUAUUGUAUCCAUAUAACUGUUGUCGACUCCCAGAAGUUGCUAACUGAGGGUUAACCAAACCAUCAGAAGCCUUCAAUCUCUUCAAACUCCGAUCAUUUGGGUCUAUCUCUGGAUUCUUCAUAUCCUCAACUUGAUGCAGCAAUGAGUAGUUUUGAUUCAAAGAUGCACUAGGUCUUAAAGAGCGCCCAAAAGCUGCAAUAUUCAUUUGAGUGCUACUCGCUCGAUUUAUAAUCAAGUCAUUUCCUUGCAAGGGACUAAUAACCUUCUGGGAGAAGUCAUUUACAGGGUUAAUUAGCUGGCUCUGAUCUUUUUGCAGCUGUCCUUUCCCAGUCAAUUCAAUUUUGACAGAAGUGGCACCAGUUGCAGAAGGAUCACUUCCACUUGCUUGUGGAUAUUGGUAUACUGAUUUUUGUGGCCAAGAAGUGAUUUUGGAAAUGCUGUUUGAUUGAAUAUCGGACUCAGGCACAUUAGACGAGGCUCUGAAAGGUGUACCAAAUGGAGGGAGUU